Molecule: unclassified non-coding RNA, 343 nt
Filed under: soil metagenome
Description: partial contains 5.8S ribosomal RNA, internal transcribed spacer 2, and large subunit ribosomal RNA
Rfam family: 5.8S ribosomal RNA (bases 1-117)
Source: RNAcentral
GAUGAAACGUAGCGAAAUGCGAUACGUAAUGUGAAUUGCAAAUUCAGUGAAUCAUCGAGUCUUUGAACGCACAUUGCGCCCCCUGGUAUUCCGGGGGGCAUGCCUGUCCGAGCGUCAUUGCUGCCCUCAAGCACGGCUUGUGUGUUGGGCCCCGUCCUCCGAUCCCGGGGGACGGGCCCGAAAGGCAGCGGCGGCACCGCGUCCGGUCCUCGAGCGUAUGGGGCUUUGUCACCCGCUCUGUAGGCCCGGCCGGCGCUUGCCGAUCAACCCAAAUUUUUAUCCAGGUUGACCUCGGAUCAGGUAGGGAUACCCGCUGAACUUAAGCAUAUCAAUAAGCGGAGGA